Molecule: ribosomal RNA, 428 nt
Filed under: Erebia neriene
Lineage: Eukaryota; Metazoa; Arthropoda; Insecta; Lepidoptera; Nymphalidae
Description: partial 28S ribosomal RNA
Source: RNAcentral
AAACCUGCGAAACUCGAAUGAACGAACGGAGAGAUUCAUCGACAUCCGACGGCGUGCGGUCGUGCGCCUCGAUGUCGCGCCUGCGCUCCUCGCGGGCGUCGCGCGCGGCACGGGUCGCGUCCGGGUUAGCCGUCGGCGUCGUGCACUUCUCUCUCAGUAAUGCAUCGCGACCCGUUCUCGGUCGGCUUGAGCGCCGUCCGACUCGCCCAGUCGGUGUGCUCGCACACCGAUUGGACCGUGACGGUGGCCGGCCGGCCGGGGGACGGUAGUGGUAUGAAACGCGCACGCGCCUCGCGCGCGUCCGGCCCGACGCAAGCUCGCGCGCCGUAUCACGUUGCGGUCCUGCCCGAGUGCGGACCGUGACGCGGCGCCGCUGUUGUCGCAGCCGUGUCGUCUCGGACGGUGCGCGUCUCAGUCUGCGGUGAGUC